Molecule: long non-coding RNA, 5111 nt
Filed under: Sus scrofa (pig)
Lineage: Eukaryota; Metazoa; Chordata; Mammalia; Artiodactyla; Suidae
Description: lncRNA (ENSSSCG00000058579.1)
Source: RNAcentral
UAUAGUCAUUUUGACAGUAUUGAUUCUUCCAAUCCAAGAGCAUGGUAUAUCUUUCCAUCUGUUUGUGUCGUCUUUGAUCUCUUUCAUCAGCAUCUUAUGCUUUUCAGAGAACACGUGUUUGGUCUCUUUAGGUAGGUUUAUUCCUAGGUAUUUUAUUAUUUUGAUGCAAUGGUAAAUUGGGUUGUUUCCCUAAUUUCUCUUUCUGAUCCUUCAUUGAUAGUAUAUAGAAAUGCAGUGGAAAUCUAUGUAUUAAUUUUGUAUCCUGUGACUGCCAAAUUCACUGAUGAGUUCUAAUAGUUUUCUGGUAUAGUCUUUAGGAUUUUCUAGGUACAACAUCAUGUCAUCUGCAAAUAGUGAUAGUUUUACUUCGUCCUUUCCAAUUUGGAUUCCUUUUAUAUUUAUCUUCUCUGAUUGCUGUGACUAGGACUUCCAAAACUAUGUUGAAUAGUAGUGGUGAGAACAGACAUCCUUGUCUUAGUCCUUAUCUCAGCAGGAAUACUUCCAGCUUUUCUCCAUUGAGAAUGAUGUUAGCUGUGGGUUUGCCAUAUAUGGGCUUUAUUAUGUUGAUAUAGCUUCCCUCUAUGCCCUCUUUCUUGGGGGGGGUAUCAGAAAUGGGUGUUGGAUUCUGACAAGAGCUUUUUCUGUGUCUAUUGAGAGGAUCAUAUGAUUUUUAUUCUUCAGUUUGUUAAUGUGGUGUAUCACACUAAUGGAUUUGUAUAUAUUGAAAAAUCCUUGCAUCCCUGGGAUAAAUUCCACUUGAUGAUGGUGUACAAUUCUUUUAAUGUAUUGUUGGAUUAGGUUUGCUAGUAUUUAAUUGAGAAUUUUUGCAUCUAUGUUCAUUAGUGAUAUUGGCCUAUAAUUUUCAUUUUUAAUGGUAUCUUUGUCUGGUUUUUGUAUCAGGUUAAUGGUAGCCUCCUAGAAUGAGUUUGGGAGUGUUCCUUCCUCUACAAUUUUUUGGAAUAGUUUCAGGAUAAGUGUUAACUCUUCUCUAAAUUUUUGAUAGAAUUCUCCUGUGAACCCAUCUGGUCCUGGACUUUUGUUUGUUGGAAGUUUUUUUAAUCAGUUUCAAUUUCAGUACUUGUGAUUCAUCCAUUAAUCUUUUCUAUUUCAUUUUGGUAUAGUCUUGGAAGACUGUACUUUUCUAAGCAUUUGUCCAUUUCUCCUAGGCUGUCUAUUUCUUGGCAUAUAUUUUCUCAUAGUACUCUCUUAUAAUCCUUUGUAGUUCUGUGAUUUCCCAAUUUUACUGAUUUGAGUUCUCUCUCUCUCUCUUUUUUCUUGCUGAGCCUGGCUAAGGUUUUAUCAAUUUUAUUUAUCCUUUCAAGGAACCGCCUUUUAGUUUCAUUGAUCUUUUCUAUGGUUUUCUUCAUUUCUAUUUCAUUUAUUUCUGCUCUGAUCUUUAUGAUUUCUUUUCUUCUGCUAACUUUGGGUCUUUUCUGUUCUUCCCUUUCUAGUUGCUCUAGGUGUAGAGUUAGGUUGUUCAUUUGAGCUUUUUCUUGUUUUCUGAUAGGUUUGCAUUUCUAUAAACUUCCCUCAUAGAACUGCUUUUGCUACAUCCCAUAAGUUUUGUUGUAUCUUUGUUGCCAUUUGCUUCUAUGUAUUUUUUAAUUUCCCCUUUGAUUUAUUCAGUGAUCCAUUGGUUGGCUAGUAGCGUGUUGUGUAGUUUCCAUGUGUUUGUGUUUUUUGCAGUUUUUUUUUUCUUAUUGUUGACUUCCAGUGAUACAGUGUUGUGGUUGCAAAAUAUGCUUGAUAUGAUUUCAGCUUUCUUAAAAUUACUGAGGUUUGAUUUGUGGUCCAGAAUGUGAUCUAUCCUAGAGAAUGUCCUGGGUGCACUUGAGAGGAAUGUGUAUUCUAUUGGAUAGAAUAUUCUAUAAACACCUAUUAAGUCCAUCUGGUCUAAUGUAUCAUUUAAAACCUGUGUUUCCUUAUUGGUUUUUUUUUCUGGAUGAUCUGUCCUUUUCUGUAAAUGGGGUGUUAACGUCCUCUGCUAUUAUUGUGUUACUGUUGAUUUCUCCUUUUAAGGCUGUUAGCAGUUGCCUUAUAUAUUGAAGUGAUCCUAUGUUGGGUCAUAUGUAUUUAUAAUUGUUAUAUCUUCCUGGAUUGAUCCUUUGAUCACUAUGUAAUGUCAUUUUUUGUCUCUUAUAAUCUUUAUUUUAAGGUCUAUUUUGUCUGAUAUGAACAUUGCUACUGCAGCUUUCUUUUGAUUUCCAUUUGCAUGGAAUAUUUUCAUCCCUCCUCUCACUUUCAAUUUGUGUGUCCCUAGAACUGAAGUGGGUCUCUUGAAGACAGUGUAUAUAUAUAUGGGUCUUGUUUUUGUAUCUAUUCAGCCUGCCUAUGUCUUUUGGUUGGGGCAUUUAGUCCAUUUACAUUUAAGGUAAUUAUUGAUAUGUAUGUUCUUAUCGCCAUUUUAUCAACAGUUUUGGAUUUGUUUUGUUGGCCUUUAUUCUUCCUUUCUCUUGUUCUCUUCUCUUGUGGUUUGAUGACUAUCUUUAGUGUUGUAUCUACUGUAGAUUUUUGUUUUGCAGUUAGCCUCAAGUUUAGAUAUAGGAGUAUAUAGAUAUACAAGAUUUUUUUCAGUUGCUAGUCUCUUAAUUUCAAGUUUAUCUCCUAUGGCCUGUAUUUGUAGCCUCUUCUCACAAUUUCAGAUUUUGGAAGCAUGUUUGUGUGUGGAUGAUUUCCCACCUUGACUUAUGUGUAUGCCUUUACUAGUGAGCCUUGUCACUUGUAAUAUUUUUUUUUUGAGUUGUGGCCCUUUUCUUUUCCACCUAGAGAAGUUCCUUCAGUAUUUGUUGUAAAACUGGUUUGGUGGUGCUGAAUUCUCUUAGCUUUUGCUUAUCUGUAAAGCUUUUGAUUUCUCCUUUAAAUCUGAAUGAGAGCCUUGCUGGAGAAAGUAAUAUUGGUUGGAGGUUUUUUCCUUUCAUCAUUUUAAGUAUAUUGUGCCACUCCCUUCUGGCCUGCAGUUUCUGCUGAAAAAUCUUUUGAUAACCUUAUCAGGCUUCCCUUGUAUGUUAUUUAUUUAUUUUCCAUAGCUGCUUUAAGUAUUUUCUCUUUGUCUUUAAUUUUGGUCAUUUUGAUUAAUAUGUGUCUUGGGGUGCUCCUCCUUGGGUUUAUUUUAUAUGGUACUUGUGCUUCCUGGAAGUGAGUGAGUGAUUCCUUUCACAUAUUAGGGAAGUUUUCAGCUAUUAUCUCUUCAAAUAUUUUCUCUGGCCCUUUCUUUUCCCCUUCUGGCACCCCUAUAAUAUGGAUGUUGUGCAUUUAACAUUGUCCCAGAAUUCUGUUAGACUGGCUUCAUUUCUUUUCAGUCUUUUUUCUCUUUUCUGUUCCACAGAAGUGAUUUUGACUAGUCUUUCCUCCAUCUCAUUUAUUCAUUCUUCUGCCUCCUAUAUUCUGCUGUUGGUUGCUUCUUUGAUUUUUUUUUUAUUUUGGUUACUGUGAUUUGCAUGUUUGCUUGAUUAGCCCUUAAAUCUUCUAUUUCUUUCCUCGGUGUUUCUUGUAAUUUAUCAAUCUUUGCCUUCAGUUUAUUUCCAAGAUUUUGAAUCAUCUUUACUAUCAUCAGUCUAAAGAUUUUUCAUGGAAGUUGGUAAUCUCCAGAUCACUUAGUUAUUUUUCUGACAUUUUUGCUUACUCCUUUAUCUGACUAAUAAUUCUUUGCUUUUUCAUUUUGUAUAGAUUUUUGGUGUGAACUCCUUUUAUGCAGACAAUAGAGGUGUAGCCUCUCUGGCUUCUGAUGUCCACCCCCCUUGUGGCUGAAGUUGGUAUGGGGGCUUACUGUAAGCUUCCUGAUGGGAGGGACUGAUGUUUGCCCACUGAAGGUGGAGCUGAUUCAUAUCCCUCUGGUGUCUGGGGCUUUGUCUCCAGGUGAGGUGACUGUGUAAGUGGGGGCUCUUUAGGCAGCCUGUUUGCUGAUGAGUGGGCUGUGUUCCAGACUGGAUUAUUUUUUGGCUUCAGGCCUCUCAGCACUGAUGGGUGAGGCCAGGUUUUUUCCAAAAUGGCCAAGUCCAGAGGAGCACACACUGAGGAUGAUUCCUGAGAACUUUGCCUCCAGUGUCCUUCCCCCAGGAGAAGCCACAACCACCCCAUUUUCCCAGGGAAUCCUCCAAGAACUGCAGUCAGGUCAGACCCAGAUUCCUAUGGAGUCUCUGCUCUGCCCUGGGACCCAGUGCACAUGAAAGGCUUUGCACACCUUUCAAGAAUGGAGUCUCCAUUUCCCACACUCCUGUGGAGCUCCUGCACACAAACCCUGCUGGCCCUCACUACCAAAUGUUCCAGGCAUUAUUUCUCCCAAUGCCAGCUCCUCAGGCUUGGGAACUUGGUGUGAGGCUCAGAGCUCUCACUCCCGUAAGUUAGUCUCUGUGAUACAGUUACAUUCCAGCCUGCGGGCUGCCCACCCAGAGGAUAUGGGGUUGCUUAUAUCAUGUAACUGCCCCUUCUACCAUCUUGAUAUCUUUUCCUCUUUGUCUUCUGGAGUAGGAUAUCUUUUUGUAAUAGUUUGUAGUCAAUUUGUUUAAAGGUUGUUCAGCAGUUUGUUGUAAUUUUAUUUUAUGAGAGAAGGUAAUCUCUAGUCCUUCUACUCUGCCAUCUUAGUGUUGACCUUUAAUGUAUCAUAAAUACUUGUAAGAUGAUAGCAGGUUUUAUUGUUUUAUUAAUAUAUAUAUAUACUUUUCCUCUAAACUUCCCAUUUUCUUUUCAAAAUCAUAAUCUGCAAAGUUUUAAAUAUAUGGGCAUAUGAUAAAAGAAGAAGAAUAUAAAAAUUAUAAUGAAUUAUAAUCUUCAGGGAGACAAAAUCUAAACAAAAUGUGUGGCCAUGUACUUAGAUAUGUUUUAACUAAAUUAAACAGUAUUAAAAGGUUUUCAUUAUAAACUUGAAAACUUUGGAGUUCCUGUAGUGGCUCAGUGGUUAACGAAUCCGACUAGGAACUAUGAGGUUGCGGGUUCAAUCCCUGGCCUUGCUCAGUGGGUUAAGGAUCCAGCGUUGCUGUGAGCUGUGGUGUAGGUUGCAGAUGCGGCUCAGAUCCUGUGUUGCUGUGGCUCUGGUGUAGGCUGGUGGCUACAGCUCUGAUUCGACCCUUAGCCUAGGAACCUCCAUAUGCUGUGGGAGGAGCCCAAGAAAUGGC